GAUGAACGCUGGCGGCGUGCCUAAUACAUGCAAGUCGAGCGAACAGACGAGGAGCUUGCUCCUCUGACGUUAGCGGCGGACGGUUGAGUAACACGUGGAUAACCUACCUAUAAGACUGGGAUAACUUCGGGAAACCGGAGCUAAUACCGGAUAAUAUAUUGAACCGCAUGGUUCAAUAGUGAAAGACGGUUUUGCUGUCACUUAUAGAUGGAUCCGCGCCGCAUUAGCUAGUUGGUAAGGUAACGGCUUACCAAGGCAACGAUGCGUAGCCGACCUGAUAGGGUGAUCGGCCAAAAUGGAACUGAGACACGGUCCAGACUCCUACGGGAGGCAGCAGUAGGAAAUCUUCCGAAAUGGGCGAAAGCCUGACGGAGCAACGCCGCGUGAGUGAUGAAGGUCUUCGGAUCGUAAAACUCUGUUAUUGGGGAAGAACAAAUGUGUAAGUAACUAUGCACGUCUUGACGGUACCUAAUCAGAAAGCCACGGCUAACUACGUG
Molecule: ribosomal RNA, 497 nt
Filed under: uncultured bacterium
Lineage: Bacteria
Description: partial 16S ribosomal RNA
Rfam family: Bacterial small subunit ribosomal RNA
Source: RNAcentral